Long non-coding RNA from Aethina tumida (small hive beetle), 602 nucleotides. RefSeq lists it as uncharacterized. The record is from RefSeq and is a predicted model, not a curated record. The transcript is spliced from 3 exons. Lineage: Eukaryota; Metazoa; Arthropoda; Insecta; Coleoptera; Nitidulidae.
GGGGCCAGACAAGUUGUUGAAACAAAGUCUCAAGUAUUGGAUAUUUACGUAUUUCACGAAAGAAUUGAAAUUGAACAAUUGAAUUUACAUAGGUGCUUAUGAAAGGGUUUCGGAAAUUUAAUGUCUUCUGUACAUCCAACAAGUCAGCAGUACGGCCCAACAGAUAGAAGGCAUCUCAGUAGCAAGAUAUGGAUUAUCACUGUGAUAUAAAAGGAUCAAACCCACCAUGUCCAUCAGGAGCGACCUCUUCUCAGCCGAUAUCAAAACCAGUUGCAGCAGCCAAUGAAAGGAUGCCAUAAAAUCAACAAAAACUAGAUUGAAGACGUAUUUGUACUAUACUGUAAUGAACACUGUGAUUUACAUGGAGGAACCAGGGUUUCUGGAAACACAAUCUAAAAUUAAAGUCUCAUAAAACACCUAAGAACUUUUCUCAUUGUUAGACCUAAACCAACAAAACCAGACUCGGAAUGUCAGCACAAACCGACCUUAAACAAAAAAUACCAAUUAUCUUAUUGUGUAAUAAAUCGAAAUGUAAAAACAAAGACCAAAUUCUGGAAAAAUAAAAAUAUUAACGUGUUGUAAAUAAACGUUCUUAACAUAAA